GACGUAGGGUCCAAGCGUUGUCCGGAUUUACUGGGCGUAAAGAGCGCGUAGGCGGCUCGUUAAGUGUGAAGUGAAAUCUCCAGGGCUCAACCCGGAAACUGCUUCGCAUACUGGCGAGCUGGAGUGACGAAGAGGUUUGUGGAAUUCCUGGUGUAGCGGUGAAAUGCGUAGAUAUCUGGAGGAACACCGGUGGCGAAGGCGGCAUCCUGGACCAAUAUUGACGCUGAGGAGCGAAAGCCAGGGGAGCAAACAGG
RNAcentral lists this ribosomal RNA (254 nucleotides) under uncultured bacterium. RNAcentral describes it as "partial 16S ribosomal RNA". It matches the Rfam family "Bacterial small subunit ribosomal RNA", at positions 524 to 776 of the family's 1533-position model. The record is from RNAcentral.